Molecule: ribosomal RNA, 268 nt
Filed under: uncultured Staphylococcus sp.
Lineage: Bacteria; Bacillati; Bacillota; Bacilli; Caryophanales; Staphylococcaceae
Description: partial 16S ribosomal RNA
Rfam family: Bacterial small subunit ribosomal RNA
Source: RNAcentral
UACGUAGGUGGCAAGCGUUAUCCGGAAUUAUUGGGCGUAAAGCGCGCGUAGGCGGUUUUUUAAGUCUGAUGUGAAAGCCCACGGCUCAACCGUGGAGGGUCAUUGGAAACUGGAAAACUUGAGUGCAGAAGAGGAAAGUGGAAUUCCAUGUGUAGCGGUGAAAUGCGCAGAGAUAUGGAGGAACACCAGUGGCGAAGGCGACUUUCUGGUCUGUAACUGACGCUGAUGUGCGAAAGCGUGGGGAUCAAACAGGAUUAGAUACCCUGGU